Molecule: long non-coding RNA, 745 nt
Filed under: Marmota monax (woodchuck)
Lineage: Eukaryota; Metazoa; Chordata; Mammalia; Rodentia; Sciuridae
Source: RNAcentral
UCUCAUUCAAAAGGUUACUUUAUUAUUUAUAGUGAAAAAAUGGGGCAGGGAACAUUAAAGUCCAUCAUGCUUCCUGUAAGUGACCAGGCCAUCAUAAAAAACACUUGUCAAGGGCUGGGGAUGUUGUUCAGUGGUUAAGCACCCUGGGUUAAAUCCCAAGUACCAAAAAAGAAAAAAGAAACUUGCCAAGUCUCAGGCUAUAUCAUUUAACACCAUCAUCAAAAUUCCAAAGCAAAUCCCACUUUCAGUGGUCUCAAAAGGGACCAUUGCUUCAAGCAUUGCUGACAUAAAUUUUACUUGAUUUUUGUCAGGUUCCAGAAUUUAAAGAAAGAAUAUUCCUAAGGUAUAUCCUGGUCUUAAUAUAAUUUUUCUAGGGAUCCCAGGAAAAAUUUUGGAGUUAUUUUGUAUUGCUCGAAGAAAAAUCUCCCAUCAAAAAGAUGCAGACAUUUAUAUUUGUUUACUUCUAUACACACUUGUGCUAGUGUUAUGAUGUUGUAUAGGUGUAUAAACUAAAUUGAGGCCACUUUGAUUUAUUAAACCAUUCAUGUCAAGGAGCACUAUUAUCAUUUACUUUCCCUUCUAUAAAUGGACAUGGUUUUAAUUGCAUUUCAUUUUUUAAACCAAAAAAUGAAAGUUGUAGAAAUGAAACAUAAAGUAAACUUCAUCCCUUUGUAUUUAAUUUACUCAAGGCACAGGUUUACAGCUGGAAAGGGCAUCCUCCAUAACUCACCCACUUCCUUCCAUA